AUUGAACGCUGGCGGCAGGCCUAACACAUGCAAGUCGAGCGAGCGGCGGACGGGUGAGUAAUGUCUGGGAAACUGCCCGAUGGAGGGGGAUAACUACUGGAAACGGUAGCUAAUACCGCAUACCAUCGGAUGUGCCCAGAUGGGAUUAGCUAGUAGGUGGGGUAACGGCUCACCUAGGCGACGAUCCCUAGCUGGUCUGAGAGGAGGAACAGCCACACUGGAACUGAGACAGGGUCCAGACUCCAACGAGAGGCAGCAGUGGGGAAUAUUGCACAAUGGGAGCAAGCCUGAUGAAGCCAUGCAGCGUGUAUGAAGAAGGCCUUCGGGUUGUAAAGGACUUUCAGCGAGGAGGCGUUACUCGCAGAAGAAGCACCGGCUAAAUCCGUGCCAGCAGCCGCGGUAAUAC
RNAcentral lists this ribosomal RNA (406 nucleotides) under uncultured bacterium. RNAcentral describes it as "partial 16S ribosomal RNA". It matches the Rfam family "Bacterial small subunit ribosomal RNA", at positions 29 to 526 of the family's 1533-position model. The record is from RNAcentral.